Ictidomys tridecemlineatus (thirteen-lined ground squirrel) is the source of this 103-nucleotide small nuclear RNA. The record is from Ensembl. Lineage: Eukaryota; Metazoa; Chordata; Mammalia; Rodentia; Sciuridae.
CCACUUGCUUCAACAGUGCAUAUACUAAAAUAGGAUACAGAGAAGAUUGGCAUGGCCCCUGCACAAGGAUGAUAUGCAAAUUUGUGAAGUGUUCCAUAUUUCU